This 2830-nucleotide long non-coding RNA is filed under the name Homo sapiens (human). Its description in RNAcentral is "non-protein coding lnc-LCOR-4:6". Lineage: Eukaryota; Metazoa; Chordata; Mammalia; Primates; Hominidae. The record is from RNAcentral.
AACCGCCGCCUGCGCGCCGGCUGCCCCUCGGCUCCUGGGAGCCGCGGCGCUACGGGCCUGCCGAGCACUCGGGCGGGCGCCGAGCAGGCUGGGCCCCGGCGCAGUGGCCUAGCCUGGACCGCAAGGCCGAAGCCGCCUCCGGGCCGCGUCCCGGUGUUUCGGGUUGUGUAACCUUGGCCAAAAUGCUUAAGCUUUUUUCCUGGCUGCCAAAUGGGGCCGAUCGUCUGACCUGCUGCCUCCGGAACUUGAGGGAUCAGAUCAAAUAACCCUUUCCUGGCGCUCGUCUGCCGCUGUGAAUGAAUCACGGGCUCCUGUAAUCACCGUUAGGAGAGAUUGUUAAACUCGUACAGGGUUGGAUGUUUUAAAGUUACUGAAUAUUUACUGGACCCCUACUGUUCAAUCAAGACAUGCUAAGUUAGCUUGCCAUUCUUGUUCAUUUAUGUGUUUACUUAACUAUUUCUGGGUCUCCUCUUCCCAGUCAUAAAUAUCUCUUGGAGUGUAAGCUCCUCGGAGCAGAGAUCCUGUUUCCGUAUUUCCUGUACCUAGAACAGUGCCAGAUCCGUAGUAGACACUGAAACAAAAAAUCUUUAAAAAAAAAAAAAUAUACGAAUGUGGCACCACCAUUUACACAGGCCACUAAGCCAAAAAUCUCGAACUUGUCAGAUUGUCUCUUCUCAGCCAUCAGCAGUCAACAAGUUCUAGCAUUUGGUCUCUUAAAAGUGGUUCAAGAGUUUAUUUUUCCUCUCCUUCCUCUGCCAGUACCAACCAGUCUUCCGUAUCACUAUGUAUUGCAAGAGUCUCACAAGAAGAUAUCCAUCACUGACUGAUCUUCCUCCCGUUUAACAUCCCCAACAGGGCCCUUGUGACUGGACCUCAUGCCAAACAACUCGUUACAAAAAGAGCUAGGGUUCCAGACUGCGCCGAAGCUUCAUGAGACCUCUCCUUGUCUGCAUGGACGAGUGGCCAACUCUGGAGCCCAGGCUGUUGCUUCCCAGUCUGGUGGUGAAUCCUCCAUAGUCUGGUGAGUGUAAAUACAUAUAUAUAUCUUUUCCCUUCUCCCUUCCCAUUGCAAUUUGCUUAUUAUAUCAUUUGCUUAUAUCUGCACUGCCAUUUGGGAUAAAGCUUGUUUACCCUUAAAGGUAUUGUGUGUGUGUCUCCUCCCGCGCGCAUUUCCCACACAGAACACCUAAGAACCUAUUUUUUAUGAUUUUUACGAGAAGUGAAUUCCAAGUUGUGCCUCAGAAUUCAGAAUAUAUCUUUCAACCUCCUACUCAUCCCCUCACCACCCUGGUGAACACAGUGUCUGGCCAGCAGGAAUGAAUGAAGAAGACUAUUUUAUGUUCUUAAUAACUUGCUUGGAAAUGAACAGAGCACAAUUUAUCAAACCAAAGCAAAUAUUUAUACAGGCAGAUCCCUUAAAAUUGAGGAUUAAUGCUUAGGAAGAAUUUUUUAGAAUUUUCCAAAUUAACCACUUGUCUUUCUCAGAAAUAAAUCUGUUACUGAUGCUUCCUCCACCAACCAGCUGCAAAACCACACACUAUUCUUUGAAGGAGGAACACAGAAAACCAACUUACUUCCUGGGGCAUUUGGGAGAGGAAUCUAAAAAUCCUAGUGAUAUGGCAAUGACUAGAACCUUUUUUUUUUUUGUAACAACAAAGCUAAAAGGGGAUGUGUAACUUAGCUUGACUUGUAAAAAUAUUCGUAGAAGUCAUCUAUAUUUUACCACUUUGUGUAACUAAGGCAGAGCAUUAGAGAUUAUUCACAUCAUUAAAUAUGUCCAGUUAAAUUAUUAGAUUACAACACCAACCUCUUGUUCAUAGUCUCUCAGUCUUCAGCUGGGCACGGGGGCUCACGCCUGUAAUGCCACCACUUUGGGAUGCCGAGACGGGCGGAUCACUUGAGGUCAGGAGUUUGAGACCAACCUGGGCAACAUGGUGAAACCCCGUCUCUACUAAAAAUACAAAAAUUAGCUAGGCGUGGUGGCAGGUGCCUAUAAUCCCAGCCACUCGGGAGGCUGAGGCGGGAGAAUCACUGGAACCCAAGAGGUGGAAAUUGCAGUAAGCCAAGAUGGCACCACUGCACUCCAGCCUGGGUGACAAGAGCAAAACUCUUGUCUCAAAAAAAAAAAAAAAAAAAUAGUCUCUCAGUCUUCAUACUUUGUUGCUUAGUUGGAUUAUCUGCUCCUAGGUUUUAAUAUAAGAUGAAAUAAAAGUGCUGGCCUAGGAAUUGGAGGCCAAUUUACCUUAGGGGCAAAGGCAAUGGUGGUGAAUAUACCCAACAGCUUCACUUUCUAUGGAGCCAGCUUGUAAAAUCUUGGGCAAGGAUGGUGGCAGCAGAGCUGUCUGCCUAAGCAUCAUGUAGAAAAUUUUUUAAUGGUUUCUUUGGACCCUAGCUUGCAGUGUCAUUUCUGCUUCUCAUUGUAUUGGAAAUCCAUGGUUUUGUUACAUAAUGUACUCCUAAAAAUGUAUACACAUGUGUUGAGUAUGUGGAAGUUGAAUAUAUUUAUGUUAUAAAUGAGCAGUUCUGUUUCUGGAAAAUGAAAAUUUUCACCUCAUCACUACAGACAUUCUUUGAUAACACAGUCCCAGUGUUUCAUCCAGAUUAUUUCAUUUUCUUCUUUUACAUAUAACCAACCAUUUUGGAUGUUAAAGGAACAACCAGUGAGGGCUUAAGAUCUGCUGCUUUUGACUUGGCACUCCUGAUCAGUUCCAUCCGUGUCUCAAGUGUAUCACAUUCACGAGACAAGGCUUCUCAUCAGCAAUUUCAAUUUUAUGUUUUCUACUUAUUUUUAUAUAAGAAUACAAUGCAACAAAAUAUUCAUAUAUUGCAC